This 468-nucleotide ribosomal RNA is filed under the name uncultured bacterium. RNAcentral's name for it is "partial 16S ribosomal RNA". It matches the Rfam family "Bacterial small subunit ribosomal RNA", at positions 28 to 507 of the family's 1533-position model. The record is from RNAcentral.
GACGAACGCUGGCGGCGUGCUUAACACAUGCAAGUCGAACGGAAAGGCCCUGCUUUUGUGGGGUGCUCGAGUGGCGAACGGGUGAGUAACACGUGAGUAACCUGCCCUUGACUUUGGGAUAUCUUCAGGAAACUGGGGCUAAUACCGGAUAGGAGCUCCUGCUGCAUGGUGGGGGUUGGAAAGUUUCGGCGGUUGUGGAUAGACUCGCGGCUUAUCAGCUGGUUGGUGUGGUAGUGGCUUACCAAGGCUUUGACGGGUAGCCGGCCUGAGAGGGUGACCGGCCACAUUGGGACUGAGAUACGGACCAGACGGCUACGGGAGGCAGCAGUGGAGAAUAUUACACAGUGGGCGGAAGCGUGAGGCAGCAGCGCCGGGUGCGGGAUGACGGCUUUCGGGUUGUAAACCGCUUUCGCCUGUGACGAAGAGUGAGUGACGGUAAUGGGUAAAGAAGCACCGGCUAACUACGUG